This 274-nucleotide ribosomal RNA is filed under the name uncultured bacterium. RNAcentral describes it as "partial 16S ribosomal RNA". It matches the Rfam family "Bacterial small subunit ribosomal RNA", at positions 523 to 796 of the family's 1533-position model. The record is from RNAcentral.
AUCCGGAGGGUGCAAGCGUUAAUCGGAAUUACUGGGCGUAAAGCGCUCGUAGGCGGCUUGUUAAGUCGGAUGUGAAAGCCCCGGGCUCAACCUGGGAACUGCAUUCGAUACUGGCAAGCUAGAGUAUAGUAGAGGCAAGUGGAAUUCCGGGUGUAGCGGUGAAAUGCGUAGAUAUCCGGAGGAACAUCAGUGGCGAAGGCGACUUGCUGGACUAAUACUGACGCUGAGGAGCGAAAGCGUGGGGAGCAAACGGGAUUAGAAACCCCAGUAGUCC